This 645-nucleotide ribosomal RNA is filed under the name uncultured archaeon. RNAcentral describes it as "bacterial SSU rRNA". It matches the Rfam family "Archaeal small subunit ribosomal RNA", at positions 142 to 790 of the family's 1478-position model. The record is from RNAcentral.
GGAGAUAAUACCUGAUAGAGGAUAAAUACUGGAAGGUUUUAUUCUUCAAAGCUUCGGCACCUGAGGAUGGGACUGCGUCGGAUUAGCUUGUUGUCGGGAUAAUUACCCGACAAGGCGAUAAUCCGUACGGGUUGUGAGAGCAAUAGCCCGGAGAUGGAUUCUGAGACAUGAAUCCAGGUCCUACGGGACGCAGCAGGCGCGAAACCUUCACAAUGCCUGAAAGGGUGAUGAGGGAACUCUGAGUGACUUCGCAAUGCGAAGUCUUUUGCCAAGUGCAAAAAGCUCGGUGAAUAAGUGGUGGGCAAGACAGUUGCCAGCCGCCGCGGUAAUAACUGCGCCACGAGUGGUGAUCUCGUUUAUUGGGCUUAAAGCGUUCGUAGCCGGUUUUAUAAGCAUCUGGUGAAAUCCGAUAGUAAACUAUUGGGCUGGCUAGGUGUACUGUAAGACUAGGGACCGGUAGGGGCCGGGAGUACUCCUAGGGUAGGGGUUAAAUCCUUUAAUCCUAGGGGGACUACCAGUGGCGAAGGCGCCCGGCUAGAACGGGUCCGACGGUGAGGGACGAAAGCUGGGGGAGCGAUCCGGAUUAGAUACCCGGGUAGUCCCAGCUGUAAACGAUGCCCGCUUGGUGUGGUGAAACUUUCGUGG